Molecule: RNase P RNA, 334 nt
Filed under: bacterium
Lineage: Bacteria
Description: RNase P RNA component class A
Rfam family: Bacterial RNase P class A
About the family: Ribonuclease P (RNase P) is a ubiquitous endoribonuclease, found in archaea, bacteria and eukarya as well as chloroplasts and mitochondria. Its best characterised activity is the generation of mature 5'-ends of tRNAs by cleaving the 5'-leader elements of precursor-tRNAs.
Source: RNAcentral
GGGGCAGGCUGGCUGACCGCGGGGUUCAUUGAACCUUGAGGAAAGUCCGGACUCCAUAGAGCAGAAGCCGUGGCUAAUGACCACCCGGGGCAACCCGCGAGAAAGUGCCACAGAAACGAAACCGCCCGGCAACGGGUAAGGGUGAAACGGUGGGGUAAGAGCCCACCAGCUGGUCGGUAACGAUCGGGCUGAGGCAAACCGGGCUUGGAGCAAGGGAUUGGGGAGGGUUGCUCGCCCUUUGAUCCAGUCAACACCGCAAGAGGUAAUCGGCAACGAUUACCCCAGAUAGAUGGUCAGACAAAGACAGAAUCCGGCUUAUAGGCUUGCCCCAUCA